AGCACUUGUGUUUGUGUUUGUUUAAUUUGUGGACAAAGACUCAUUGACAGGUGCAAAAAUAAAUCCUCUUUUGCAACCCAGAACUCAUUGUUCAGUAUGAGUUUUGAUACAGAUAAGAAGGGACAUA
Loxodonta africana (African savanna elephant) is the source of this 127-nucleotide small nucleolar RNA. Ensembl annotates it as small nucleolar RNA SNORA40. The record is from Ensembl. NCBI's taxonomy places the organism in Eukaryota, Metazoa, Chordata, Mammalia, Proboscidea, Elephantidae.